RNAcentral lists this long non-coding RNA (621 nucleotides) under Vitis vinifera (wine grape). RNAcentral's name for it is "long non-coding RNA (VVIN_LNC004265)". The record is from RNAcentral. Lineage: Eukaryota; Viridiplantae; Streptophyta; Magnoliopsida; Vitales; Vitaceae.
CAGCUGUUGCUGAUGAAUAUUCGAAAGGUUGCUCUGCUGAGCCAUCAACUGGUGCUGCUGCUGCUGUUGCUGCUGCUGCAGGUUUGGAAGAUUAUUUUGCUGGCUUAGCAGCCUCUGCUGCUGUUGCUGCUGCUGCUGCUGCAAGUCAGAAAAGCUGUUUUGUUGUCCAAUCAACUGAUUUGAUUGCAUGGUUGUAGCAUUGGGUGGUUGUCCUAUAAGCUGCUGCUGCUGCUGUGAGGGCAAUAUUGGCUGCUGUGUCAUUGAUGUUUGCUGUUGAUGCAUAACAGGAGUCUGUUGUGGCUGUUGCUGUUGCCUGAGAACCGCCGGUGGAUGUUGCUGAAGCACAGAUUGUGAUGACUGUUGAACAGAAGACGGCUGAUUCUGUUGAAGGCCAGACAGAGGAGCUGAUUGCAUACCAGAUGAAGUUUGCAUGACGGAUUGCUGAGACGAUUGGAACUGAUUUGAUUGUAACAGAGUCUGCUGCUGCUGCUGUUGCUGAUACUUCUGUUUUAAAAGGUGAUGUUGCAACUGCUGCUGAUAAAUGUACUGCUGUGAGCUCUGGGACUGCUGCUGUUGCUGUUGUGGAACUACCUGUGGCCUUCCUUGGCUCUGCCUCUGAGA